GACGAACGCUGGCGGCGUGCUUAACACAUGCAAGUCGAACGGUGAAGCGCCUUCCUUUUUGGUGGGUGUGGAUGAGUGGCGAACGGGUGAGUAACACGUGAGUAACCUGCCCCCUUCUUCUGGAUAACCGCAUGAAAGUGUGGCUAAUACGGGAUAUUCUGGGUCUGUCGCAUGAUGGGUCUGGGAAAGAUAUUGUUUCGGUGGGGGAUGGGCUCGCGGCCUAUCAGCUUGUUGGUGGGGUGAUGGCCUACCAAGGCGGUGACGGGUAGCCGGCCUGAGAGGGUGGACGGUCACACUGGGACUGAGACACCGACCCGACUCCUACGGGAGGCAGCAGGGGGGAAUAUUGCACAAUGGGCGCAAGCCUGAUGCAGCGACGCCGCGUGAGGGAUGGAGGCCUUCGGGUUGUGAACCUCUUUCGCCAGUGAAGCAGGCCUGCCUCGUUUGUGGGUGGGUUGACGGUAGCUGGAUAAGAAGCGCCGGCUAACUACGUG
RNAcentral lists this ribosomal RNA (494 nucleotides) under uncultured bacterium. RNAcentral describes it as "partial 16S ribosomal RNA". It matches the Rfam family "Bacterial small subunit ribosomal RNA", at positions 28 to 507 of the family's 1533-position model. The record is from RNAcentral.